Molecule: unclassified non-coding RNA, 253 nt
Filed under: uncultured bacterium
Lineage: Bacteria
Description: contains 16S-23S intergenic spacer region
Rfam family: Bacterial small subunit ribosomal RNA
Source: RNAcentral
UACGGAGGUGGCAAGCGUUACUCGGAAUCAUUGGGUGUAAAGGGCAAGUAGGCGGUCUAGUAAGCGAGGGGUGAAAUCUUCCGACUCAAUCGGGAAACUGCCUUUCGAACUAUUAGACUUGAGGCAGGAAGGGGGAAACGGAAUUCGUGGUGUAAGGGUGAAAUCUGUAGAUAUCACGAAGAACACCGGCGGCGAAGGCGGUUUCCUGGUCCUGUCCUGACGCUGAAUUGCGAAAGCUAGGGGAGCAAACAGA